This 432-nucleotide ribosomal RNA is filed under the name Lactiplantibacillus plantarum. RNAcentral describes it as "bacterial SSU rRNA". It matches the Rfam family "Bacterial small subunit ribosomal RNA", at positions 915 to 1356 of the family's 1533-position model. Lineage: Bacteria; Bacillati; Bacillota; Bacilli; Lactobacillales; Lactobacillaceae. The record is from RNAcentral.
GGGGGCCGCCCCGGGCGGGGCGGGGGCACGGGGGGAACGCGAAGAACCUUACCAGGUCUUGACAUACUAUGCAAAUCUAAGAGAUUAGACGUUCCCUUCGGGGACAUGGAUACAGGUGGUGCAUGGUUGUCGUCAGCUCGUGUCGUGAGAUGUUGGGUUAAGUCCCGCAACGAGCGCAACCCUUAUUAUCAGUUGCCAGCAUUAAGUUGGGCACUCUGGUGAGACUGCCGGUGACAAACCGGAGGAAGGUGGGGAUGACGUCAAAUCAUCAUGCCCCUUAUGACCUGGGCUACACACGUGCUACAAUGGAUGGUACAACGAGUUGCGAACUCGCGAGAGUAAGCUAAUCUCUUAAAGCCAUUCUCAGUUCGGAUUGUAGGCUGCAACUCGCCUACAUGAAGUCGGAAUCGCUAGUAAUCGCGGAUCAGCAGU